GGUGGUUCUCGGGUGACACACCCUGGAAUUGGGUUCCCUUCUGUCUGGUUCCAGGUGCGUCACCCCAAGAACCGCA
Myotis lucifugus (little brown bat) is the source of this 76-nucleotide non-coding RNA. The record is from Rfam. NCBI's taxonomy places the organism in Eukaryota, Metazoa, Chordata, Mammalia, Chiroptera, Vespertilionidae.